GUUUUUUCCAUCUGGUGGAAUUUGAAUAUGAAUUUAUAAAAUUCACAGGUUUGAGAAUGUAGGGUUUAUUUGAUUUUAGACGUAGAUAUGAAGUUUAAUGAUAAGAGCAGUUAUGCUUUAUUAUGCAGAACCAGAUUAUCUGGUAGAGCAGAUUAGGACCCAUUCAAUAUGUACUUGCAAGGUCAGGUCAUGAAUGGUCACUGCUUGCACUGGAAAAAUAAUGUAUUGUGAUUUUGUGGUAGUUUGUCUUGUGUAUUUCAUGUGAUAAUUCUUGUUUUGUGUCUAACUCUGUCUCAGUCAAAACCAACACACUAAUCUUGUAUUCACUUCCCACUGCAACAUCCAGCACUUCUCUUUUGUGCUUUUUGCUUCAGAGCUCAGCUGCUGCCCCAGAAAUAGCCUGCCCUGGAACCAGGUGUAGCAACUGCUUCUGUCUGACUUCCCACCUGGGCUGGAGUGAGAGCAUAAACACUGCACUGGAAGGACUUUUGCAAAUGCUGAUCACCAUGAAAUCUAACCCCCAUGCCAUUUCUGUGCAAGCAGUUCCUGCCACUCUCCCACUGAUGCCUAUUCUUCUGGACCUCAGAUUUCAUUUGAGCAGUAAGUAAGGAUUUUACAUUGUUGACAAAUUUACAGCUAUCUGGUGCCUGAAUUACAAUGACACUGUGCAGUAAGCGCAAACUGGCAGAAAGAAUCUCAGUCACAAUUCAGACUAUCUGGAAUUUAACAGUCAUCAAGAGAUUGUCUCUUCCCAAUAUAUUUAGCAACAAAAACUAUCUAAACUAUUAUUAAAAAUCCUUAUUUGUUCUAUUCUGAUGGAACCUUGUAGGUAUGAAUUUGUCAGUGUUGAAACCAUCUAAACUUGGUCCAACUAAAAUCCCUUCUGUGUCUGUAUCUGGUUUAUUAUCUGUGUUAUCUGAACAGCUAGUGAUGGUUUCUGCAGAGCACAGUACACCUCAGAAUCCACAUGUCCUGCAAUCUGCCUGUCUUCCAAGCAAGACUAGUUAACAACAUUGAUGAAAAAUUAUUAUAUGCCACAAAAUAAUUUUCAUAUUUAAAUUUCUCAUAAUAGUCAAGGAGGAAGCACACUCUAAUGAAAAUGAUGCAGAAAAUAAAAGUUACAUAGCUUAGAAAAAAAUAAGUUGU
RNAcentral lists this long non-coding RNA (1146 nucleotides) under Cyanistes caeruleus (blue tit). RNAcentral's name for it is "lncRNA (ENSCCEG00000001014.1)". Lineage: Eukaryota; Metazoa; Chordata; Aves; Passeriformes; Paridae. The record is from RNAcentral.